UGCGUCCAGAGGCGAAGCAGCGGUACUUGCAGAAAAUAGCGUGCAUUGGAAAUGUGGACCCGUAUGAAAUACGGCCGUGGAGUAGAAACCCUGAAGACCAACCGCUAUUGACGUAGCCUGACAUAUUUCGUACCUUGUCUGUGGAGUCAGCGCGUACAAGUCGUCAUUCAAACAAAGGUGCUGCACUCUAAGACUGAAUGAACCAGCAUUGCAGCCAUGGGUCACUGUGAGCAUCACAGGGAAGGUUGAAGCCGCCCGCUGCAGCUGUAUGGCCGGAGUCGCAGAGACCUGCAGCCAUGUCGCUGCUCUUCUGUUUAAUGUAGAAGCAACAGUGUUGAUCCGUGGCACAAGGACUGUUACAGAUGAACCUGCAUACUGGGUUUUGCUGGGUAAUAUGACCAAGAUACAGCCAGAGGUUGGCCAUAAGAUAGACUUCUCCUCUUCAGCUGCCCAAAAAAAGGCUCUUGAUCAAAACAUAAACAGACCAUCUGUAGUGACAGGGAAAAGGAGCCGUCCUCAAAACAGAAAAAUCCCACCUGCUACUGUGGAGGAGUCGUCACUGCUAUUGGAUACUUUGCUGGAACACAGUAAAGCUGUGGGUUGUGGGAAUGACCCAUAAUGUUUUAUCUAGGGGUCUAGAUUUAUGCCUGUAGUGCACUGCUGUGUAAAUAAUUUGCAUUUACUGAAUAUGUACUGACUGAGUCCCACUGUUCAAAAGUUGAAUAAAGAAACAAACUAA
Molecule: long non-coding RNA, 739 nt
Organism: Haplochromis burtoni (Burton's mouthbrooder)
Lineage: Eukaryota; Metazoa; Chordata; Actinopteri; Cichliformes; Cichlidae
Exons: 2
Source: RefSeq, a predicted model, not a curated record